This 256-nucleotide ribosomal RNA is filed under the name uncultured bacterium. RNAcentral's name for it is "partial 16S ribosomal RNA". It matches the Rfam family "Bacterial small subunit ribosomal RNA", at positions 337 to 585 of the family's 1533-position model. The record is from RNAcentral.
GCCUACGGGGCGCAGCAGUAGGGAAUCUUCCACAAUGGACGAAAGUCUGAUGGAGCAACGCCGCGUGAGUGAAGAAGGGUUUCGGCUCGUAAAGCUCUGUUGGUAGUGAAGAAAGAUAGAGGUAGUAACUGGCCUUUAUUUGACGGUAAUUACUUAGAAAGCCACGGCUAACUACGUGCCAGCAGCCGCGGUAAUACGUAGGUGGCAAGCGUUAUCCGGAUUUACUGGGAGGAAAGGGCGUGUAGGCGGGAAGGGA